GAUGAAGAACGCAGCGAAAUGCGAUAAGUAAUGUGAAUUGCAGAAUUCAGUGAAUCAUCGAAUCUUUGAACGCACAUUGCGCCCGCCAGUAUUCUGGCGGGCAUGCCUGUUCGAGCGUCAUUUCAACCAUCAAGCCCCCGGCUUGUGUUGGGGACCUGCGGCUGCCGCAGGCCCUGAAAACCAGUGGCGGGCUCGCUGUCACACCGAGCGUAGUAGAUUUUCAUCUCGCUCAGGGCGUGCUGUGGGUUCCGGCCGUAAAAAGCCUUAUUUACCCAAGGUUGACCUCGGAUCAGGUAGGAAGACCCGCUGAACUUAAGCAUAUCAAUAAGCGGAGGA
Molecule: unclassified non-coding RNA, 336 nt
Filed under: soil metagenome
Description: partial contains 5.8S ribosomal RNA, internal transcribed spacer 2, and large subunit ribosomal RNA
Rfam family: 5.8S ribosomal RNA (bases 1-120)
Source: RNAcentral